Molecule: ribosomal RNA, 494 nt
Filed under: uncultured bacterium
Lineage: Bacteria
Description: partial 16S ribosomal RNA
Rfam family: Bacterial small subunit ribosomal RNA
Source: RNAcentral
GACGAACGCUGGCGGCGUGCUUAACACAUGCAAGUCGAACGGUGAAGUGCCUUCCUUUUUGGUGGGUGUGGAUGAGUGGCGAACGGGUGAGUAGCACGUGAGUAACCUGCCCCCUUCUUCUGGAUAACCGCAUGAAAGUGUGGCUAAUACGGGAUAUUCUGGGUCUGUCGCAUGAUGGGUCUGGGAAAGAUAUUGUUUCGGUGGGGGAUGGGCUCGCGGCCUAUCAGCUUGUUGGUGGGGUGAUGGCCUACCAAGGCGGUGACGGGUAGCCGGCCUGAGAGGGUGGACGGUCACACUGGGACUGAGACACGGCCCAGACUCCUACGGGAGGCAGCAGUGGGGAAUAUUGCACAAUGGGCGCAAGCCUGAUGCAGCGACGCCGCGUGAGGGAUGGAGGCCUUCGGGUUGUGAACCUCUUUCGCCAGUGAAGCAGGCCUGCCUCGUUUGUGGGUGGGUUGACGGUAGCUGGAUAAGAAGCGCCGGCUAACUACGUG